Molecule: ribosomal RNA, 484 nt
Filed under: uncultured bacterium
Lineage: Bacteria
Description: partial 16S ribosomal RNA
Rfam family: Bacterial small subunit ribosomal RNA
Source: RNAcentral
AUUGAACGCUGGCGGCAGGCCUAACACAUGCAAGUCGAGCGGAUGAAGGGAGCUUGCUCCUGGAUUCAGCGGCGGACGGGUGAGUAAUGCCUAGGAAUCUGCCCGGUAGUGGGGGAUAACGUCCGGAAACGGGCGCUAAUACCGCAUACGUCCUGAGGGAGAAAGUGGGGGAUCUUCGAACCUCACGCUAUCAGAUGAGCCUAGGUCGGAUUAGCUAGUUGGUGGGGUAAAGGCCUACCAAGGCGACGAUCCGUAACUGGUCUGAGAGGAUGAUCAGUCACACUGGAACUGAGACACGGUCCAGACUCCUACGGGAGGCAGCAGUGGGGAAUAUUGGACAAUGGGCGAAAGCCUGAUCCAGCCAUGCCGCGUGUGUGAAGAAGGUCUUCGGAUUGUAAAGCACUUUAAGUUGGGAGGAAGGGCAGUAAGUUAAUACCUUGCUGUUUUGACGUUACCAACAGAAUAAGCACCGGCUAACUUCGUG